UCGUCAUCCAGUCCUGAUUUGAUUCGC
RNAcentral lists this small RNA (27 nucleotides) under Bombyx mori (domestic silkworm). RNAcentral describes it as "ovarian small RNA-29223". Lineage: Eukaryota; Metazoa; Arthropoda; Insecta; Lepidoptera; Bombycidae. The record is from RNAcentral.